Long non-coding RNA from Cydia fagiglandana, 730 nucleotides. RefSeq lists it as uncharacterized. The record is from RefSeq and is a predicted model, not a curated record. The transcript is spliced from 2 exons. NCBI's taxonomy places the organism in Eukaryota, Metazoa, Arthropoda, Insecta, Lepidoptera, Tortricidae.
UACAUAAAAUGUUGUAUCUGAACGUGUUAACAAUGACACUUGCAUUGACAGCUUUGACAUUAUUUAAAGGUUAUAAAACUUAUAAAUUUGGUAAAUCUAUCCGUGCUUUGUGGAGCUUGGUGUAUUUGUUUAAAAUUAUGCAUACCUACCUAAUAUAGGUAUUAUAUUUCUUAACCAUACAAUGGAACCAAAUGAUAAUUAUAUGUACAAGUGAUGUUUUAUUGUAACAAGCCUUUGUGUCGCGAGUUUACUUGUAGGUGCAACUUUUGUUAGUAAUAAUUUUGUAAUGCUAUUUAUGCAUGGAACAAUGCAAUGGUUAUUAUACUCGGCCACCUAGCCAACCUACUUACUACGGGGAAGGAUGGUUCACAAAUUAGGCAGUAUUUAAAUAACUGUGUACCUGCUGAUUAAAAAUAAGAUGUUUUCUGCGUACAGUUGGUUAUAAUUAAGUUGGCUAAUCUAUAUCUCAUCAGACAGUUUGGACAUCUAUUCCAGAGAGUUUGCAAGAUCCUGAAAGUACCAUCUUUAGCCACUGUUACUGUUGAAUAACUCCAGGCUUUGGAAGAAAAGCUGUGGCCUGCGAACAGCUGUGAAUAUUGGUCGGAGAAGUGUAACUGACUCCGUACACUGCAAGUCCCAGCAGGAAAUCAGCAAGAAACCUAAAAGAAAAAAAAAACAUCAAAAUGGAAACCUUGAUUUAGGUUGAAGUAAUAAAAUUGUUCUAAUUUAA